AUUGAACGCUGGCGGCAUGCCUUACACAUGCAGGUCGAACGGUAACAGGUUAAGCUGCCGAGUGGCGAACGGGUGAGUAAUGUAUCGGAACGUGCCCAGUCGCGGGGGAUAACUGCUCGAAAGAGCAGCUAAUACCGCAUACGACCUGAGGGUGAAAGCUGGAGAUCGCAAGACCUCGCGCGAUUGGAGCGGCCGAUAUCAGAUUAGGUAGUUGGUGAGGUAAAGGCUCACCAAGCCGACGAUCUGUAGCUGGUCUGAGAGGACGACCAGCCACACUGGGACGGAGACACGGCCCAGACUCCUACGGGAGGCAGCAGUGGGGAAUUUUGGACAAGGGGCGCAAGCCUGAUCCAGACAUGCGGGGGGCGGGAAGAAGGCCUUCGGGUGGUAAACCGCUUUUGUCAGGGAAGAAAAGGUUCUGGCUAAUACCUGGGACUCAUGACGGUACCUGAAGAAUAAGCACCGGCUAACUACGUG
This 477-nucleotide ribosomal RNA is filed under the name uncultured bacterium. RNAcentral's name for it is "partial 16S ribosomal RNA". It matches the Rfam family "Bacterial small subunit ribosomal RNA", at positions 29 to 507 of the family's 1533-position model. The record is from RNAcentral.